UUGGACCGGAUAUCAGGCAAGAUACCCGCGAACUA
RNAcentral lists this ribosomal RNA (35 nucleotides) under Phytophthora capsici. RNAcentral's name for it is "partial 28S ribosomal RNA". The record is from RNAcentral. Lineage: Eukaryota; Oomycota; Peronosporomycetes; Peronosporales; Peronosporaceae.